AGCAACACCUGAGGUCGACAUUCAGAGACAAUAAUCGAUCGAUGCACAUCAUGUACCAUCGAUCGACAGCGAAGCGUGCAGAGACCCAGUUUGGUUUCAGCCGACUUAAAGCCCAAGAAAACACCAAAUUACAAGAUUGCCAUUGGCGAGUUUUUAACCUAAUAUAUAUAGCUUGCCAAUUGUUUAAGGCAAAGAAGGCUUUCUUGUUCUCUUGUUUUCUAGUUUUCAUACCUAAGAUUUAGUAGAGUUGGAGAGAAGAUCCAAGACUCAUUCAACGAUUUGUGAUUGGAACUUCAUUAUUAUUACAUAUAUAUCUAUGCAGUUUUCUUUAUACUUUGUUGUUAUGAAUUGCUUAGCCAUGUCUGAGUAGUUCUAUCGUUAGGUUUAGGGUUUAAAUAUGUUAUGAAGGAUUAGCCCCAACUA
This 423-nucleotide long non-coding RNA is filed under the name Brassica napus (rape). RNAcentral's name for it is "long non-coding RNA (BNAP_LNC021082)". Lineage: Eukaryota; Viridiplantae; Streptophyta; Magnoliopsida; Brassicales; Brassicaceae. The record is from RNAcentral.